UACGGGGGGGGCAAGCGUUGUUCGGAAUUACUGGGCGUAAAGGGCCAGUAGGCGGCCAACUAAGUCGGACGUGAAAUCCCCAGGCUCAACCUGGGAACUGCGUCCGAUACUGGAUGGCUUGAAUUCGGGAGAGGGAUGCAGAAUUCCAGGUGUAGCGGUGAAAUGCGUAGAUAUCUGGAGGAACACCGGUGGCGAAGGCGGCAUCCUGGACCAACACUGACGCUGAGUGAGCGAAAGCCAGGGGAGCAAACGGG
This 254-nucleotide ribosomal RNA is filed under the name uncultured bacterium. Its description in RNAcentral is "partial 16S ribosomal RNA". It matches the Rfam family "Bacterial small subunit ribosomal RNA", at positions 524 to 776 of the family's 1533-position model. The record is from RNAcentral.